Molecule: long non-coding RNA, 302 nt
Filed under: Lathyrus oleraceus (garden pea)
Lineage: Eukaryota; Viridiplantae; Streptophyta; Magnoliopsida; Fabales; Fabaceae
Description: Pisum sativum (pea) long non-coding RNA (PSAT_LNC029916)
Source: RNAcentral
UCAUAUGUUGUUGUUUGUGUUAUUAUGGAUGUUAUUGGUGAGGUAUGCUUAUGUUUUUGUUGAGGUAUGUUUUUGUUUUGUUAGGUAAGUUGUUAUUUUUGUUUUUGUAUAUGUUUUUUGAGGUUUGUUAAUGUUUUUUGUUGAGGUGUGAUAUUUUUUUGUUAAGGUACACUUUUUUGCUGAUAAAUGUUGUUGUUUGUGUUAUUGUGGAUGUUUUUUGUUGAGGUGUGUUAUUGUUUUGUUAAGGUACAUUUUUUUGUUGAUAAAUGUUGUUAUUUGUGGUAUUGUAGAUGUUUUUGUUG